UUGUUGGAAAUCUCCUAGAAAACAAAUGAACUGUGAUUAUAAUUUGGUCUCCAUGAUUUUUCUUCUCACCAGCUGUGAUGGAUGAUGCCACCAAAUUCAUUAAUUAGAAUAAGUGAGUACAUGAAGGACAUUCCACUCGAUCCUGCAUGCAUUACUUUACCAAUCGUGGGAAAACAAAGCAAAAGAUACCAUCAAAAUGACAAUUAGAAACUUAAAAGAAUUACUCAAACGAACAUCAACCUUGAAAUUUAAAAAACCAAGCAGUCAGACACAGUACACCAAACCAGACACUCAUCGCCAU
RNAcentral lists this long non-coding RNA (301 nucleotides) under Elaeis guineensis (African oil palm). Its description in RNAcentral is "long non-coding RNA (EGUI_LNC000729)". Lineage: Eukaryota; Viridiplantae; Streptophyta; Magnoliopsida; Arecales; Arecaceae. The record is from RNAcentral.